Molecule: long non-coding RNA, 801 nt
Filed under: Lonchura striata (white-rumped munia)
Lineage: Eukaryota; Metazoa; Chordata; Aves; Passeriformes; Estrildidae
Description: domestica (Bengalese finch) lncRNA (ENSLSDG00000006431.1)
Source: RNAcentral
AUGGUUUUGCUGUGUUUUUUGUGUGUUUUAGGCAUGAUUUUGGUGUGUUACUUGUGUGGUUUUGGACAUGGUUUUGCUGUGUUUUUUGUGUGUUUUAGGCAUGGUUUUGCCGUGUUCUUGCCGUGGUUUUUGUGCAUUCCUGCCGUGUUUUUUGCAUGUUUCUGCCAUGUUUUUUGCAUGAUUUUGCCGUGUCCCUGCUGUGUUCCUGCCCUGUUUUUGCCAUGGUUUUUAACAUGUUUCUGCCAUGUUUUUGGUGUGUCUUUGCAUGUUUUUGUCCGUGUUUUUCCUGUGUUCCUGCCCUGUUCCUGCCCUGGUUUUGCCUUGUUUUUGCAUGUUUUUGUCCAUGUUUUUGCUGUGUUCCUGCCAUGUUCCUGCCGUGUUUUUCCCCUGUUUUUGGUGUGGUUUUGCCAUGUUCCUGCCCUGUUUUUGUCCAUGUUUUUGCCGUGUUCCUGCCGUGUUCCUGCCCUGUUUGUGUCCGUGUUUUUGCCGUGUCCCUGCUGUGUAUUUGCCAUGUCCCUGCCGUGUUUGUGCCGUGUCCCUGCCGUGUUCCUGCUCUGGUUUUGUCCAUGUUUGUGCCGUGUCCCUGCUGUGUUCCUGCCAUGUCCUUCCCUGUUUGUGUCCGUGUCUGUGCCGUGUCCCUGCCGUGUCUGUGCCGUGUCCCUGCCGUGUUCCCGUGCCGUGUCCCGGUGCCGGUGCCGUGCCCGGCCGUUCCCUCGGGCGGCUCCGCCGGCGGCUGCAAAGCAAAGCUGGGGGAGGGGCCGGGGGGUUCCGGGGGUCCCGCGACGGCGCCUGGGGAGAGAC